Molecule: ribosomal RNA, 492 nt
Filed under: uncultured bacterium
Lineage: Bacteria
Description: partial 16S ribosomal RNA
Rfam family: Bacterial small subunit ribosomal RNA
Source: RNAcentral
GAUGAACGCUCGCUACAGGCUUAACACAUGCAAGUCGAGGGGAAACGGCAUUGAGUGCUUGCACUCUUUGGACGUCGACCGGCGCACGGGUGAGUAACGCGUAUCCAACCUUCCCAUUACUGUGGGAUAACCUGCCGAAAGGCAGACUAAUACCGCAUAGUCUUCGAUGACGGCAUCAGAUUUGAAGUAAAGAUUUAUCGGUAAUGGAUGGGGAUGCGUCUGAUUAGCUUGUUGGCGGGGUAACGGCCCACCAAGGCUACGAUCAGUAGGGGUUCUGAGAGGAAGGUCCCCCACAUUGGAACUGAGACACGGUCCAAACUCCUACGGGAGGCAGCAGUGAGGAAUAUUGGUCAAUGGACGGAAGUCUGAACCAGCCAAGUAGCGUGCAGGAGGACGGCCCUAUGGGUUGUAAACUGCUUUUGUAUGGGGAUAAAGUUAGGGACGUGUCCCUAUUUGCAGGUACCAUACGAAUAAGGACCGGCUAAUUCCGUG